GACAGAGGGUGCAAACGUUGUUCGGAAUUACUGGGCGUAAAGCGAGUGUAGGCGGUUUGGUAAGUCGGAUGUGAAAGCCCCGGGCUCAACCCGGGAAGUGCACUCGAUACUGCCAGGCUAGAGUAUCGGAGAGGUUGGUGGAAUUCUCGGUGUAGAGGUGAAAUUCGUAGAUAUCGAGAGGAACACCGGUGGCGAAGGCGGCCAACUGGACGAAUACUGACGCUGAGACUCGAAAGCCAGGGGAGCGAACGGG
This 253-nucleotide ribosomal RNA is filed under the name uncultured bacterium. RNAcentral describes it as "partial 16S ribosomal RNA". It matches the Rfam family "Bacterial small subunit ribosomal RNA", at positions 524 to 776 of the family's 1533-position model. The record is from RNAcentral.